CCCCCCGGAGUCGCCUUCUCCUGCCAGUCACCGUCCUGGGGGAGUAGAACGAAAGCACAGGGCAUUGGGGGCAACUGCUACAACGUGCCUGAUUACCUGGUGCAGCCGGCCCCGCCCGUGUCACUCCGGUCCAGGCCACAUUUUCGUUAAGCCUGCCCCCCCCACCCCCCCAACACUACCUUCCCCAGAGCUGGGGGUCCUAGCCUUGGGUUUCUCCCUUCUCAAUUUCCUCUUUGUUUUCCUCUUCCUCCAACUCAGCUGUGGGCUUUCCUUUACGCUGAGAAGUCGGUCCAGUCGCUCCGCACCGUUGGGCCUCCCCCCAGAACCCCCCACCUCAGCUGCAACAGGCACCUGGACACACCAUCCUAGUGCUUAAUCUUCUUAAAAAAAAAAAAAAAAAAAAAAAGGUUUUAUUUACUUAUUAGAGAAAGAGCAAGAGCCGCGGAAGGGGCAGAGAGAGAAGUAGACUCCCCGCCGAGCAGGGAGCCAGAAUGUGGGGCUCCAGCCCAGGACUCGGGGAUCUUGACCUGGGCCCACCUCAGACGUUUAACCCACCGAACCACCCAGGCGCCCCCUAGCCUAGUGGUGGUAAGAAUUCUUGAUUGGCUUGUCUGUCAAAUUUGUCAAAGAACUCCCAGAACCAGCUCCCCACAUGCCUUCCCGUCUGUCCCCUUUCAGAGAGAAGCACGACUUGCUCCUGCCCAGCUGUGGGAGGGAAGGGAACUCUGAAGCUCUUCCAGUGAACAGGAUAUCCUGCUGUCCUAAUAAACACCAACCUGUCAGUUGUGAAACAGAGGGGAAAUUGCCAUAUUGUUGCUGUCAUCUCCAUCAUCCUCAAGCCAGGAUCCCCAAACUACUCAAGACAUCUGAACUAUACUAAGCAGAACUCCUCCGAAACAUCCCAGCCUUCGAGUGGUACAGAAAACGUGGACUGGUGUGCAGUGCAGGAAGGCACAGCUCCUGCUCCGUCCGGGGUCCUGGGGAAUGCUUGCUGCCAAUUCCAGGGUCUGGAAAACUCUCUGUCCUUGGGGAAGGAUGGUGUGGUCUUUGUUGCGGAGGCCCUCUGUGGCCAAGAAGGUGGUUCCCCGUUCCUGCUCUGUGUCUCCAUCAGCCUCCUGCCCCUUCCUAUCACACCUGCCUAUCCUUUUUUUUUUUUUUUUUAAAGAUUUUAUUUAUUUAUUCAUG
This 1185-nucleotide long non-coding RNA is filed under the name Canis lupus dingo (dingo). Its description in RNAcentral is "lncRNA (ENSCAFG00020020840.1)". The record is from RNAcentral. Lineage: Eukaryota; Metazoa; Chordata; Mammalia; Carnivora; Canidae.